Non-coding RNA from Myotis davidii, 75 nucleotides. The record is from Rfam. Lineage: Eukaryota; Metazoa; Chordata; Mammalia; Chiroptera; Vespertilionidae.
GGCAGUUCUCAGGUGAUGCACUCCAGAAUUGGGCUUCCUUCUCUCUGGUUCUGGGUGCAUCACCAGAGAACUGCA